RNAcentral lists this ribosomal RNA (369 nucleotides) under uncultured bacterium. Its description in RNAcentral is "bacterial SSU rRNA". It matches the Rfam family "Bacterial small subunit ribosomal RNA", at positions 525 to 896 of the family's 1533-position model. The record is from RNAcentral.
ACGGAGGAUGCAAGCGUUAUCCGGAUUCAUUGGGUUUAAAGGGUGCGCAGGCGGAAUGAUAAGUCAGUGGUGAAAUCUCCCGGCUCAACCGGGAAACUGCCAUUGAUACUGCCAUUCUUGAGUACAGUUGAAGUGGGCGGAAUGUGUCAUGUAGCGGUGAAAUGCUUAGAUAUGACACAGAACACCGAUAGCGAAGGCAGCUCACUAAGCUGUAACUGACGCUCAUGCACGAAAGCGUGGGGAUCAAACAGGAUUAGAUACCCUGGUAGUCCACGCUGUAAACGAUGAUCACUCGUUGUUGGCGAUACACUGUCAGCGACUGAGCGAAAGCAUUAAGUGAUCCACCUGGGGAGUACGGCGGCAACGUUG